GACGAAUGCUGGCUGCGUGCUUAACACAUGCAAGUCGAACGGUGAACAGGGGCUUGCCCCUGGGAUCAGUGGCGAACGGGUGAGUAACACGUGGGCAACCUGCCCCUCACUCUGGGAUAACUCCGGGAAACCGGGGCUAAUACCGGAUACGACCAGGCACGACAUCGGGUCUGGUGGAAAGAACUUCGGUGAGGGAUGGGCCCGCGGCCUAUCAGCUUGUUGGUGAGGUAAUGCCUCACCAAGGCGACGACGGGUAGCCGGCCUGAGAGGGCGACCGGCCACACUGGGACUGAGACACGGCCCAGACUCCUACGGGAGGCAGCAGUGGGGAAUAUUGCGCAAUGGGCGAAAGCCUGACACAGCGACGCAGCGUGAGGGAAGAAGGCC
RNAcentral lists this ribosomal RNA (387 nucleotides) under uncultured bacterium. Its description in RNAcentral is "bacterial SSU rRNA". It matches the Rfam family "Bacterial small subunit ribosomal RNA", at positions 28 to 416 of the family's 1533-position model. The record is from RNAcentral.